This 86-nucleotide transfer RNA is filed under the name Aphanocapsa feldmannii 277cV. Its description in RNAcentral is "tRNA-Leu". It matches the Rfam family "tRNA". From Rfam's summary of the family: Transfer RNA (tRNA) molecules are approximately 80 nucleotides in length. Their secondary structure includes four short double-helical elements and three loops (D, anti-codon, and T loops). RNAcentral also lists the same sequence under 2 other names. The record is from RNAcentral. Lineage: Bacteria; Bacillati; Cyanobacteriota; Cyanophyceae; Chroococcales; Microcystaceae.
GGGGGCAUGGCGGAAUCGGUAGACGCAGCGGACUUAAAAUCCGCAGGCCCAUAAGGGCUGUAAGGGUUCAAGUCCCUUUGCCCCCA